AUGUGAUCGUCUCUCGCAUAUCAAUAAGCGGAGGAAAAGAAACUAACAAGGAUUCCCCUAGUAACGGCGAGUGAAGCGGGAAGAGCUCAAAUUUGAAAUCUUAAAGGGUUUCCCUUUACGAAUUGUAGUUUAAAGAAGUGUUUUCUGUUGAGGUUUUGGUAAAAGUUCUUUGGAAUAGGACAUCAUAGAGGGUGAGAAUCCCGUAUUUGACCUUUACUUUCAACUUUGUGAUACACUUUCAAAGAGUCGGAUUGUUUGGGAAUGCAGUCCAAAAUGGGUGGUAAAUUUCAUCUAAAGCUAAAUAUUGGCGAGAGACCGAUAGCGAACAAGUACCGUGAGGGAAAGAUGAAAAGAACUUUGAAAAGAGAGUUAAACAGUACGUGAAAUUGUCAAAAGGGAAGCGUUUGACACCAGUGUUGUUUUUCUGAAAAUCAAUUAAAGAACUGUUUAUGCUAAGCUGUUUAGACUUUAUCAGCUAUCUGUUUAGUUUUGAGCUUUUCUUUAAUGCACUUUUCAGUUAACAAGUCAACAUCAAUUUCUUUUGCUGUAAAAAAGCUUGAGGAAGGUGGCUUGAGAUUCGUCUUAAGUGUUUAUAGCCUCUUGCCUAUGCAGUCGGAGAGAUUGAGGUCUGCAGCGUAGACCCUUCGGGGCUAAAUGCAUUUGUGCUAAGUUAUAGCAUUUUAUAGACAACUUGUUGACUAUGAUUUGUCUUGUAGCUUACUCGCUUAUGUUAUUUUACCUACGCUUAGGAUGUUGAUCUGUAGUGCGUGCGC
Molecule: ribosomal RNA, 773 nt
Filed under: uncultured Neocallimastigales
Lineage: Eukaryota; Fungi; Neocallimastigomycota; Neocallimastigomycetes; Neocallimastigales
Description: partial large subunit ribosomal RNA
Rfam family: Eukaryotic large subunit ribosomal RNA
Source: RNAcentral